GCAUAGGAAUUGAUUUCUGUACCAAUCGGAGUAACCAUCUAGUAAUGAUACCUGACGUCUGGAUAGGUCGAAUGUAUGUAAAGCAACACUCAAGAACCUAUUUAGAUAUAGUUAUCAUAUAAUUUAUCCCUUUGACCCUUGAUGCUAGGAUGACUUAGAGUUUAAACUAUCAACUCUUAACUGUACAUCCAUUAUAUGUCUCAACCUGAUAAAUCCUGUGACUCCUCGCAAGGAUUGUCCUGGCC
RNAcentral lists this long non-coding RNA (245 nucleotides) under Elaeis guineensis (African oil palm). RNAcentral describes it as "long non-coding RNA (EGUI_LNC075468)". The record is from RNAcentral. Lineage: Eukaryota; Viridiplantae; Streptophyta; Magnoliopsida; Arecales; Arecaceae.